RNAcentral lists this ribosomal RNA (1457 nucleotides) under Oplophorus novaezeelandiae. RNAcentral's name for it is "SSU rRNA". It matches the Rfam family "Eukaryotic small subunit ribosomal RNA", at positions 394 to 1804 of the family's 1831-position model. Lineage: Eukaryota; Metazoa; Arthropoda; Malacostraca; Decapoda; Oplophoridae. The record is from RNAcentral.
GCCUGAGAAACGGCUACCACAUCCAAGGAAGGCAGCAGGCACGCAAAUUACCCAAUCCCGGCCCAGGGAGGUAGUGACGAAAAAUAACAAUGCGGGACUCAUCCGAGUCUGCGUAAUUGGAAUGAGCACACUUUAAGUCCUUUAGCGACAACCGAUUGGAGGGCAAGUCUGGUGCCAGCAGCCGCGGUAAUUCCAGCUCCAAUAGCGUAUAUUAAAGUUGUUGCGGUUAAAAAGCUCGUAGUCCGAGUUCAGUUCCGGACUGGCCGGGGAGGUCGCCGCCCGGCGCUUCCCCGCCAGGCUCCGAACGCAGGCCUCCCUCACAAGGGGGGGCCGCAGCCGGUUUCGCCGGGGUCCCCUUCACCGGGUGUCCCGCGCGGCCGGCCCGUUCACCUUGAACAAAUGAGAGUGCUCAGAGCAGGCUACUCCAAGUAAAAGCCCGAAUGUUACCUGCAUGGAAUGAUGGAAGAUGAUCUCGGUUCCAUCCUGGUCUGGGAAUCCGAGAUAAUGAUAAACAGGGACUGUCGGGGGCAUCCGUACUACGACGCGAGAGGUGAAAUUCAGUGACCGUCGUAGGACGAACGACAGCGAAAGCAUUUGCCAAGAAUGUCUUCGUUGAUCAAGAACGAAAGUUAGAGGAUCGAAGGCGAUCAGAUACCGCCCUAGUUCUAACCCUAAACGAUGCUGACUAGCAAUCCGCCGUCGCUAUUCCCAUGGCGUGGCGGGCCGCCCCCGGGAAACCUCAAGUUUUUGAGUUCCGGGGGUAGUAUGGUUGCAAAACUGAAACUUAAAGGAAUUGACGGAAGGGCACCACCAGGAGUGGAGCCUGCGGCUUAAUUUGACUCAACACGGGAAACCUCACCAGGCCCGGACACCAGAAGGAUUGACAGAUUAAGAGCUCUUUCUCGAUUUGGUGGGUGGUGGUGCAUGGCCGUUCUUAGUUGGUGGAGUGAUUUGUCUGGUUAAUUCCGGUAACGAACGAGACUCUGGCCUGCUAACUAGUCGACGUGGGUCCGCUGUGCACGGGCCCCGUAUCGACCCUAUAUCUUCUUAGAGGGAUGAGCAGCGAGUCUAGCUGCAGGAGAUUGAGCAAUAACAGGUCUGUGAUGCCCUUAGAUGUCCUGGGCCGCACGCGCGCUACACUGGACGGGUCAGCGGGUUCGCCUUCUCCGAGAGGAGCGGGAAAUCGCUGCAAACCCGUCCGUGAUAGGGAUUGGGGCUUGCCAUUGUUUCCCAUGAACGAGGAAUUCCCAGUAAGCGCAAGUCAUCAGCUUGCGUUGAUUAAGUCCCUGCCCUUUGUACACACCGCCCGUCGCUACUACCGAUUGAAUGAUUUAGUGAGGCCUUCGGACUGGCGGUCCUGGACUGGGUUCCGCUCUCCGGCGGACCCGGCCACCACUCGCCGGAAAGAUGUCCAAACUUGAUCAUUUAGAGGAAGUAAAAGUCGUAACAAGGUUUCC